CCUUCGUGUGGCAUCAGUGGGGAAUAUUGCACAAUGGGGGACACCCUGAUGCAGCGACGCCGCGUGAGUGAAGACGUAUCUCGGUACGUAAAGCUCUAUCAGCAGGGAAGAAAAUGACGGUACCUGACUAAGAAGCCCCGGCUAACUACGUGCCAGCAGCCGCGGUAAUACGUAGGGGGCAAGCGUUAUCCGGAUUUACUGGGUGUAAAGGGAGCGUAGACGGCAGCACAAGUCUGGAGUGAAAUCCCGGGGCUUAACCCCGGAACUGCUUUGGAAACUGUGCGGAUGGAGUGCAGGAGGGGUAAGCGGAAUUCCUAGGGUAGCGGUGAAAUGCGUAGAUAUUAGGAGGAACACCGGGGGCGAAGGCGGCUUACUGGACUGUAACUGACGUUGAGGCUCGAAAGCGUGGGGAGCAAACAGGAUUAGAUACCCUUGUAGUC
This 440-nucleotide ribosomal RNA is filed under the name uncultured bacterium. RNAcentral's name for it is "partial 16S ribosomal RNA". It matches the Rfam family "Bacterial small subunit ribosomal RNA", at positions 338 to 795 of the family's 1533-position model. The record is from RNAcentral.